UAUCAAAUUCUAGCUGAUUCUGGUUGUUUUACAACUCCGCUCUUGGCUUGACUUGUGUAGUUGAGUUAGAUAAAUUGAUUUAGUGGUAAAAAUUAUUGGAUAGAUAUAUGAAAUGAUGUAUUAGAUGUUGCCUUUGUGUUUGUUAUUUUGAGGUUAGGCAACUUAUGAACUUAGAUAGUUAUUUUGGAUAUUUUAACGGUUUCAGCUGAGUGUCGUUGAUUUUGGUUUUAGGGAAACCAUAUUCAGGUUUCAUAUGCAUAUUCAGAUCAAAUUCCAAGAUACAUUUUUUGGUCCAUUCCUAUUGUUUAUAUCUCAUUAAAUGUAUGUUUCUUCUAUGAAUUUUAUGUUGCUUAAAUGAUCCAUUUUUGAGUUGGACCUUAACAAAUCUCACCUUUAGAAAGGCACAUGAUCCAUUUUCUGUUUAUAAUCACUGUGUAUGUUAGGCUUUUUUUAUUGAGGUGUUUAAAAUUGAUUUUAGAAUGGUUUCAGAGAGUUGUACUCUAAAACCAUUUAGCUGGUAGAAUGGUUUCAGAGAGUUGUACUCUGAAACCAUUUUGCUGAUAGAAUGGUUUCAGGUAGUUGAUGUUUAAUUGUUGCUUACUAAACCAUUUUGCUGGUAGAAUGAUUUCAAAUGAUUAUGUACCAGUUACAUCCUUAGUUUAGGCCAUUUGGAGGAACUACAGAAUUAACAUCAGUUCAUUUAUCUUAUCAAUCAAUUAUGAUUAUCUUUUUUUGUAAAACUUAUAGAUUGUUGGAGAUAAUAUGCAAGGUGCUAGAUUGCCUCUUGAAACCUAACAUCAAAGAGAAAAUAUCAAGUAUGUUAACUUCAUUUUGUCAUGGACAAUGCUUCUUAAUAAUGCACUUCUUCUUAAAGUAUGAUUUAUUUUUGACAAUUUUGCGCAAAGGGAUUGAUAUAGGUUGUUUUUACUUGUAGGCUUGAUGCUACUUGCAUCUCUUGGAAGCGAAUGCGAGGAAACUAUGUUAAAACAAUUGAUGUUGUUGGGGUUUGGCAAGAGAACAAUGUUGUUGAAACUGAAAAGACCAUUGAAGCUCUUAAAAGAGUUGCAUAGUAAAUUUAGAAAAGUUCUCAGAAUUGAUGUUAUUCAUGUUGUAUAAAUUGUUGUAGACCUUUGGAUGUAUUUAUAUAUUUUAAGUUAUUUUAUGUGUCAUCUUGGGUAGAAAUUGUAAUAUCACCACAUACAUAUUGUAAAGAAUUUAGACCUAUAUUUGUGUAUUGUCGAUUAAUGCAAUUAGAUUUCUAAUGAUUUUGCAAUAUCAUUUUUCUGGUUUCAA
This 1293-nucleotide long non-coding RNA is filed under the name Trifolium pratense (red clover). RNAcentral describes it as "long non-coding RNA (TPRA_LNC010661)". Lineage: Eukaryota; Viridiplantae; Streptophyta; Magnoliopsida; Fabales; Fabaceae. The record is from RNAcentral.